Molecule: transfer RNA, 87 nt
Filed under: Fibrobacterota bacterium
Lineage: Bacteria; Pseudomonadati; Fibrobacterota
Also listed under: 2 other names
Description: tRNA-Leu
Rfam family: tRNA
About the family: Transfer RNA (tRNA) molecules are approximately 80 nucleotides in length. Their secondary structure includes four short double-helical elements and three loops (D, anti-codon, and T loops).
Source: RNAcentral
GCCGAGGUGGUGAAAUUGGUAGACGCGCCGGACUCAAAAUCCGGUAGGGGCAACUCUGUGGGGGUUCGAUUCCCCCCCUCGGCACCA